UUAGCCCUAAACACAAAUAAUUACAAUAACAAAAUUAUUCGCCAGAGUACUACCGGCAACAGCCUAAAACUCAAAGGACUUGGCGGUGCUUUACACCCUUCUAGAGGAGCCUGUUCUAUAAUCGAUAAACCCCGAUAAACCUCACCAGUUCUUGCUAAUACAGUCUAUAUACCGCCAUCUUCAGCAAACCCUAAAAAGGAAUAAAAGUAAGCAUAAUCACAACACAUAAAAACGUUAGGUCAAGGUGUAACCUAUGAAAUGGGAAGAAAUGGGCUACAUUUUCUACCACAAGAAAAUCACACGAAAGUUAUUAUGAAACUAAUAACCAAAGGAGGAUUUAGUAGUAAACUAAGAAUAGA
RNAcentral lists this ribosomal RNA (359 nucleotides) under Cephalophus silvicultor (yellow-backed duiker). Its description in RNAcentral is "partial 12S small subunit ribosomal RNA". It matches the Rfam family "Bacterial small subunit ribosomal RNA", at positions 796 to 1353 of the family's 1533-position model. Lineage: Eukaryota; Metazoa; Chordata; Mammalia; Artiodactyla; Bovidae. The record is from RNAcentral.